AGUGAACGCUGGCGGUAGGCCUAACACAUGCAAGUCGAACGGCAGCACAGGAGAGCUUGCUCUCUGGGUGGCGAGUGGCGGACGGGUGAGGAAUACAUCGGAAUCUGCCCAGUCGUGGGGGAUAACGUAGGGAAACUUACGCUAAUACCGCAUACGACCUUCGGGUGAAAGAGGGGGAUCGCAAGACCUCUCGCGAUUGGAUGAGCCGAUGUCGGAUUAGCUAGUUGGCGGGGUAAUGGCCCACCAAGGCGACGAUCCGUAGCUGGUCUGAGAGGAUGAUCAGCCACACUGGAACUGAGACACGGUCCAGACUCCUACGGGAGGCAGCAGUGGGGAAUAUUGGACAAUGGGCCCAAGCCUGAUCCAGCCAUACCGCGUGGGUGAAGAAGGCCUUCGGGUUGUAAAGCCCUUUUGUUGGGAAAGAAAUCUUUCAGGCUAAUACCCUGGGAGGAUGACGGUACCCAAAGAAUAAGCACCGGCUAACUUCGUG
RNAcentral lists this ribosomal RNA (490 nucleotides) under uncultured bacterium. RNAcentral's name for it is "partial 16S ribosomal RNA". It matches the Rfam family "Bacterial small subunit ribosomal RNA", at positions 29 to 507 of the family's 1533-position model. The record is from RNAcentral.